CAAGGGAUCGUUUGGCUCCCGCGUCGAGGAAGGGCGCCCUGGCCGGCGACAGGCCCCGGAGCAAGCGCACCGACGGGGCGUGCCCGAAUGGUGCUCGGCGAGCACGGACACUCCUCGGAAUUAAGCAUAUGAAUAAAGGAAGGAAAAGAAACCAACAGGGAUUCCGCAGUAGCGGCGAGUGAACAGGGAACAGUCCGCCGGUGUAAUUCGCGAGAAGAUGUCGGGACUCAUGAUACGCCGGAAGCGGCUGCGAUGCCGCGCCACAGAGGGUGACGGCCCCGUACGGCCAAACAACCAACCAAACAUGAGUAGCCGUGCUCGGUAGUGCACGGUGAAGAGGUGGCAGUGUCCAUCUAAGACUAAAUACAGCGGGAGACCGAUAGCAGACAAGUAGGCCGACCGAAAGCGUGAAAUUGUGUGUGGAUCCGAGCAGAUCGGACCCGUCUUGAAACACGGACC
This 459-nucleotide ribosomal RNA is filed under the name Microsporidium sp. RSB1. RNAcentral describes it as "partial 23S ribosomal RNA". The stretch from base 10 to 407 matches the Rfam family "Archaeal large subunit ribosomal RNA", at positions 32 to 506 of the family's 2987-position model. The record is from RNAcentral. Lineage: Eukaryota; Fungi; Microsporidia.